This 238-nucleotide ribosomal RNA is filed under the name uncultured bacterium. Its description in RNAcentral is "partial 16S ribosomal RNA". It matches the Rfam family "Bacterial small subunit ribosomal RNA", at positions 96 to 334 of the family's 1533-position model. The record is from RNAcentral.
CGGCGAACGGUGAGUAACACGUGAGUAACCUCGCCCCUAGCGACCGGGAUAGCUCCGGGAAACCGGAAUUAAUACCGGAUAUGACCACGGUCGGCAUCGACUGUGGUGGAAAGGAUUCCGGCUAGGGAUGGACUCGCGGCCUAUCAGCUAGUUGGUUGGGGUAACGGCCCACCAAGGCGACGACGGGUAGCCGGCCUGAGAGAGCGACCAGCCACACUGGGACUGAGAAACGGCCCAG